Molecule: ribosomal RNA, 477 nt
Filed under: uncultured organism
Description: partial 16S ribosomal RNA
Rfam family: Bacterial small subunit ribosomal RNA
Source: RNAcentral
UACACUCCUACGGGAGGCAGCAGUGGGGAAUUUCGGACAAUGGGCGAAAGCCUGAUCCAGCAAUGCCGCGUGCAGGAUGAAGGCCUUCGGGUUGUAAACUGCUUUUGUACGGAACGAAAAAGCUCCUUCUAAUACAGGGGGCCCAUGACGGUACCGUAAGAAUAAGCACCGGCUAACUACGUGCCAGCAGCCGCGGUAAUACGUAGGGUGCGAGCGUUAAUCGGAAUUACUGGGCGUAAAGCGUGCGCAGGCGGUUAUGUAAGACAGAUGUGAAAUCCCCGGGCUCAACCUGGGAACUGCAUGGGUGACUGCAUGGCUAGAGUACGGUAGAGGGGGAUGGAAUUCCGCGUGUAGCAGUGAAAUGCGUAGAUAUGCGGAGGAACACCGAUGGCGAAGGCAAUCCCCUGGACCAGUAUUGACGCUCAUGCACGAAAGCGUGGGGAGCAAACAGGAUUAGAAACCCGAGUAGUCCCAUGA